This 281-nucleotide ribosomal RNA is filed under the name Staphylococcus felis. Its description in RNAcentral is "partial 16S ribosomal RNA". It matches the Rfam family "Bacterial small subunit ribosomal RNA", at positions 1 to 271 of the family's 1533-position model. The record is from RNAcentral. Lineage: Bacteria; Bacillati; Bacillota; Bacilli; Caryophanales; Staphylococcaceae.
AAUAUGGAGAGUUUGAUCCUGGCUCAGGAUGAACGCUGGCGGCGUGCCUAAUACAUGCAAGUCGAGCGAACUGAAGAGGAGCUUGCUCCUUUGACGUUAGCGGCGGACGGGUGAGUAACACGUGGGUAACCUACCUAUAAGACUGGAAUAACUCCGGGAAACCGGGGCUAAUGCCGGAUAAUAUGUUGAACCGCAUGGUUCAACAGUGAAAGACGGUUUUGCUGUCACUUAUAGAUGGACCCGCGCCGCAUUAGCUAGUUGGUGAGGUAACGGCUCACCAA